GACGAACGCUGGCGGCGCGCCUAACACAUGCAAGUCGAACGGAGCUGAGAGGAGCUUGCUUUUCUUAGCUUAGUGGCGAACGGGUGAGUAACACGUGAGUAACCUGCCCUGGAGUGGGGGACAACAGUUGGAAACGACUGCUAAUACCGCAUAAGCCCACGAUCCGGCAUCGGAUUGAGGGAAAAGGAUUUAUUCGCUUCAGGAUGGACUCGCGUCCAAUUAGCUAGUUGGUGAGGUAACGGCCCACCAAGGCGACGAUUGGUAGCCGGACUGAGAGGUUGAACGGCCACAUUGGGACUGAGACACGGCCCAGACUCCUACGGGAGGCAGCAGUGGGGGAUAUUGCACAAUGGGGGAAACCCUGAUGCAGCGACGCCGCGUGGAGGAAGAAGGUUUUCGGAUUGUAAACUCCUGUCGUUAGGGGCGAUAAUGACGGUACCUAACAAGAAAGCACCGGCUAAGUACGUGCCAGCAGCCGCGGUAAAACGUAGGGUGCAAGCGUUGUCCGGAAUUACUGGGUGUAAAGGGAGCGCAGGCGGACCGGCAAGUUGGAAGUGAAAACUAUGGGCUCAACCCAUAAAUUGCUUUCAAAACUGCUGGCCUUGAGUAGUGCAGAGGUAGGUGGAAUUCCCGGUGUAGCGGUGGAAUGCGUAGAUAUCGGGAGGAACACCAGUGGCGAAGGCGACCUACUGGGUACCAACUGACGCUGAGGCUCGAAAGCAUGGGUAGCAAACAAAAUUAGAUACCCUGGUAGUCCAUGCCGUAAA
RNAcentral lists this ribosomal RNA (767 nucleotides) under uncultured bacterium. RNAcentral describes it as "bacterial SSU rRNA". It matches the Rfam family "Bacterial small subunit ribosomal RNA", at positions 28 to 806 of the family's 1533-position model. The record is from RNAcentral.